ACAGAGGGUGCAAGCGUUAAUCGGAAUUACUGGGCGUAAAGCGUGCGUAGUCGGUUAUCUAAGUCGGAUGUGAAAUCCCCGGGCUCAACCUGGGAAUUGCAUUCGAUACUGGAUAGCUAGAGUUCGGCAGAGGGAAGCGGAAUUUCGGGUGUAGCGGUGAAAUGCGUAGAGAUCCGGAGGAAUACCAAAGGCGAAGGCAGUGUCCUGGGUGUUACCUGACGCUGAGGUGCGAAAGCCAGGGGAGCGAACGGGA
Molecule: ribosomal RNA, 253 nt
Filed under: uncultured prokaryote
Description: partial 16S ribosomal RNA
Rfam family: Bacterial small subunit ribosomal RNA
Source: RNAcentral